UACGUAGGGCGCAAGCGUUGUCCGGAAUUAUUGGGCGUAAAGAGCUCGUAGGUGGCUUGUCACGUCGGGUGUGAAAGCUUGGGGCUUAACUCCAGGUCUGCAUUCGAUACGGGCUGGCUAGAGGUAGGUAGGGGAGAACGGAAUUCCUGGUGUAGCGGUGAAAUGCGCAGAUAUCAGGAGGAGCACCGGUGGCGAAGGCGGUUCUCUGGGCCUUACCUGACGCUGAGGAGCGAAAGCGUGGGGAGCGAACAGG
This 253-nucleotide ribosomal RNA is filed under the name uncultured bacterium. Its description in RNAcentral is "partial 16S ribosomal RNA". It matches the Rfam family "Bacterial small subunit ribosomal RNA", at positions 524 to 776 of the family's 1533-position model. The record is from RNAcentral.